RNAcentral lists this long non-coding RNA (1108 nucleotides) under Homo sapiens (human). Its description in RNAcentral is "HSALNT0385621". The record is from RNAcentral. Lineage: Eukaryota; Metazoa; Chordata; Mammalia; Primates; Hominidae.
GGCCGAGCCCUCGAUGCCUCCCGUCUGACGGAGGCGCCCGGGAAGCGCCGCCCACCUCGGCCCCGCACCCUCGCCGGCCUGCCGGGUCUCCGCCAGCCCUAGCAGACAGAGAGGGGCGCCGGUCCCUAGUCCCCCAGACCUCCAUUCAAGGUCAAAACUUUGCCCAGCUCAGCCUUGCUCGACCCUGGGCAGGGAAGCGCGGACAUCGGCAGAGGGAGCCCGAGGCUCUCCGUGCCCUUCGCGCCGGUCAAGAACUGUGGAAUCUUUCAGAUGAUAUUCUGAUACUUCUGGACCAAGAUUGAAUUUGUUCUUCAUGAAAAAUGUCUGGGACCUUUUAUGUGGGAGGAGCCAAGAUGGCCGAAUAGGAAAAGCUCCGGUCUACAGCUCCCAGCGUGAGCAACGCAGAAGACGGGUGAUUUCUGCAUUUCCAUCUGAGGGUGUACUCCAUCUACUUUUAAAAACAAAAAGUUCACUGUAAAACAGCCUCAGGUAGGCCGUUCAGUAGGUAUUCCAGAAGAAGGUAUUGUCAUCAUAGGAGAUGGACAGCUCCAAGGGUGUUUAUUGCCCCUGAAGACUUUCUAGUGGAACAAGAUGUGGAGGUGGAAGACACUGAUGUUGGUGAUCCUGACUCAGUGCAGGCCUAAGCUAAUGUGGGUGUUUGUGUCUUAGUUUUUAACUAAAGGUUUAAAAAGUAAAAAUAAAACAUUAAAAAAAAUUUUUGUACACCUGAACAAUGUCUUUGUGUUUUAAGCUAAGUUAUUACAAAAGGGUCAAAAAACUAAAAAAAUUAAAAGUUAACAAGGUAAAGAAGUUACAGUAAGCUAAGGCUAAUUUAUUAUUGAAGAAAAAUAUUUUUUAAAACAAAUUUAGUGUAGGCUGGACACAAUGGCUCACACCUGUAAUCUCAGCACUUUGGGAGGCUGAGACAGGUGGAUCACUUGAGGCCAGGAGUUCAAGACCAGCCUAGGCAACAUGGUGAAACCCUAUCUCUAUUAAAAAUACAAAAAUUACCCGGGCAUCAUGGCCCAUAAUCCCAGUUACUUGGAAGCUGAGGCAGGAGAAUUGCUUGAACCUGGGAGGCAGAGGUUGCAGUGAGCCGAGAUCACGC